AGAGUUUGAUCCUGGCUCAGGACGAACGCUGGCGGCGUGCCUAACACAUGCAAGUCGAGCGGGAACCUCAGGAGGGGUAACCCUUCUGAGGGGAGAGCGGCGAACGGGUGAGUAACACGUGGGCAACCUGCCCCGGACACCGGGAUAACCCAGGGAAACCUGAGCUAAUACCGGAUACUCCGGCGUGAUCGCAUGGUCGCGCCGGGAAAGCUCCGACGGUCCGGGAUGGGCCCGCGGCCUAUCAGCUUGUUGGUGGGGUAACGGCCCACCAAGGCGACGACGGGUAGCUGGUCUGAGAGGACGGCCAGCCACACUGGGACUGAGACACGGCCCAGACUCCUACGGGAGGCAGCAGUAGGGAAUCUUGCGCAAUGGGGGAAACCCUGACGCAGCGACGCCGCGUGCGGGAUGAAGGCCUUCGGGUCGUAAACCGCUUUCAGCAGGGACGAAAUUGACGGUACCUGCAGAAGAAGGCCCGGCCAACUACGUGCCAGCAGCCGCGGUAAU
This 507-nucleotide ribosomal RNA is filed under the name uncultured soil bacterium. Its description in RNAcentral is "bacterial SSU rRNA". It matches the Rfam family "Bacterial small subunit ribosomal RNA", at positions 8 to 524 of the family's 1533-position model. The record is from RNAcentral.